Molecule: ribosomal RNA, 944 nt
Filed under: Enterococcus faecium
Lineage: Bacteria; Bacillati; Bacillota; Bacilli; Lactobacillales; Enterococcaceae
Description: partial 23S ribosomal RNA
Rfam family: Bacterial large subunit ribosomal RNA
Source: RNAcentral
GAUUGUGUGAAUACAUAGCACAUUCGAGGUAGACGCAGAGAACUGAAACAUCUAAGUACCUGCAGGAAGAGAAAGAAAAUUCGAUUCCCUGAGUAGCGGCGAGCGAAACGGGAAAAGCCCAAACCAGCAAGCUUGCUUGUUGGGGUUGUAGGACUCCAAUAUGGUAGUUCUUUCAGAUAGUCGAAUGACUUGGAAAAGUCAGUCAAAGAGGGUAAAAACCCCGUAGACGAAAUGUGGAAGACACCUAGGAGGAUCCUGAGUACGGCGGAACACGAGAAAUUCCGUCGGAAUCCGGGAGGACCAUCUCCCAAGGCUAAAUACUCCCUAGUGACCGAUAGUGAACCAGUACCGUGAGGGAAAGGUGAAAAGCACCCCGGAAGGGGAGUGAAAUAGAACCUGAAACCGUGUGCCUACAACAAGUCAAAGCCCGUUAAUGGGUGAUGGCGUGCCUUUUGUAGAAUGAACCGGCGAGUUACGAUUGCAUGCGAGGUUAAGUUGAAGAGACGGAGCCGCAGCGAAAGCGAGUCUGAAUAGGGCGUUUGAGUAUGUAGUCGUAGACCCGAAACCAUGUGAUCUACCCAUGUCCAGGUUGAAGGUGCGGUAAAACGCACUGGAGGACCGAACCCACGUACGUUGAAAAGUGCGGGGAUGAGGUGUGGGUAGCGGAGAAAUUCCAAACGAACUUGGAGAUAGCUGGUUCUCUCCGAAAUAGCUUUAGGGCUAGCCUCGGAAUUGAGAAUGAUGGAGGUAGAGCACUGUUUGGACUAGGGGCCCAUCUCGGGUUACCGAAUUCAGAUAAACUCCGAAUGCCAUUCAUUCAUAUCCGGGAGUCAGACUGUGAGUGAUAAGAUCCAUAGUCGAAAGGGAAACAGCCCAGACCACCAGCUAAGGUCCCAAAAUAUAUGUUAAGUGGAAAAGGAUGUGGGGUUGCACAGACAACUAGG